ACGGGUGAGUAAUGCCUAGGAAUCUGCCUGAUAGUGGGGGAUAACGUUCGGAAACGGACGCUAAUACCGCAUACGUCCUACGGGAGAAAGCAGGGGACCUUCGGGCCUUGCGCUAUCAGAUGAGCCUAGGUCGGAUUAGCUAGUUGGUGAGGUAAUGGCUCACCAAGGCGACGAUCCGUAACUGGUCUGAGAGGAUGAUCAGUCACACUGGAACUGAGACACGGUCCAGACUCCUACGGGAGGCAGCAGUGGGGAAUAUUGGACAAUGGGCGAAAGCCUGAUCCAGCCAUGCCGCGUGUGUGAAGAAGGUCUUCGGAUUGUAAAGCACUUUAAGUUGGGAGGAAGGGCAUUAACCUAAUACGUUAGUGUUUUGACGUUACCGACAGAAUAAGCACCGGCUAACUCUGUGCCAGCAGCCGCGGUAAUACAGAGGGUGCAAGCGUUAAUCGGAAUUACUGGGCGUAAAGCGCGCGUAGGUGGUUUGUUAAGUUGGAUGUGAAAUCCCCGGGCUCAACCUGGGAACUGCAUUCAAAACUGACUGACUAGAGUAUGGUAGAGGGUGGUGGAAUUUCCUGUGUAGCGGUGA
This 586-nucleotide ribosomal RNA is filed under the name uncultured Pseudomonas sp. RNAcentral describes it as "bacterial SSU rRNA". It matches the Rfam family "Bacterial small subunit ribosomal RNA", at positions 102 to 684 of the family's 1533-position model. Lineage: Bacteria; Pseudomonadati; Pseudomonadota; Gammaproteobacteria; Pseudomonadales; Pseudomonadaceae. The record is from RNAcentral.